RNAcentral lists this ribosomal RNA (377 nucleotides) under uncultured bacterium. Its description in RNAcentral is "bacterial SSU rRNA". It matches the Rfam family "Bacterial small subunit ribosomal RNA", at positions 523 to 898 of the family's 1533-position model. The record is from RNAcentral.
ACACGUAGGGGGCGAGCGUUGUCCGGAAUUACUGGGCGUAAAGGGCGCGUAGGCGGCGAUUUAAGUCUGAUGUGAAACCCCCGGGCUUAACCCUGGGCUUGCAUUAGAAACUGAAUGGCUUGAGGGCAGGAGAGGAAAGCGGAAUUCCCAGUGUAGCGGUGAAAUGCGUAGAUAUUGGGAGGAACACCAGUGGCGAAGGCGGCUUUCUGGACUGCCCCUGACGCUGAGGCGCGAAAGCCAGGGUAGCGAACGGGAUUAGAUACCCCGGUAGUCCUGGCCGUAAACGAUGGAUACUAGGUGUGGGAGGUAUCGACCCCUUCCGUGCCGCAGCCAACGCACUAAGUAUCCCGCCUGGGGAGUACGGCCGCAAGGCUGAA